ACAGACAGCACCUACUGACUGUCUGAAUCCUUCCCAUGGACUUAAGUAGGUGAUUAUCUCCAUUUCAGAUCUUGGCACAAGGUUAACAUGAUGCUAAUUGGCAGUGGUGAGAAAGAGGUACUCUGAGGGCAUAUGUCAAAUUUUAGUGUCAGGGAACUAACAAACAACUCAGGUAGAAAAGGUACGGUAAAGCUUAAUAGAGUGCAUAACAAAUGAACAGAGGUUUUCAAUGUCAUAAUUUAGGAUAUAAUGUUGUUUAAAUCUCCUGUUAUGUUUGUUCUUGAACUUGGUCUCUUGCUUUUAGUGACCUUUAGUCUUCAUAUAAAUUAGUUACAAGAUACAAAUAACAAAGGGGGUUUCCAUUAAGAAUUUGGCCCAUAAAGGAAAGCAGGUUGAUGUAGAAAACAAGUGAGAAGAGCAUGAGGCUGGGGUGAGACAAAGGCAUUGAGUAUCUCUAUUGCUGUAGCUUCUAAGGCUGCAGUAAGACUGAUAAAUAAAAUAAAGCCAAGGCUUAUUUUUCAUAGUGCUUGGGUUUUAGUAGGGUCCUUGCUACACCUUUGGCCUGUCUGACUUUCUCCCAGAAACUAUCCAAGCAUGCUUUGGAGUAGUGUAUGCCAGAGACUGUUCUUACCUUUUGGUGAGAGUGGAAUAAAACACAAGUAUGGGUGGAUGUGACCUCAGCCACAGCACCGACUGUUGGAACCAGAGCAUGGUCAAUAGCCUGGUUUAUCUAUUCUAGCAAGUGUAGGUGUAGACAUAGAUACAGCCUUAGAGGAUCCCUCCUUACGACCAAUUCCUGUUCUUUGUAGGAUAGCAAAGAUCCCUGGUGAUUUCAGCGUGCCUACCAGAACAGCUCAUGGGUUUGUGCACCAGAAGAGCUGGUGCCCUAAGCCUUUUCCAGGUUUACACGCGAACCUUCAGCCAGUCAUUCGUCAGCUCUGUGCCUCUUCCCAUCUGUAUAAUGAUAGUGGCCUCCUAUAGAAAAACAUUUGGUCAUGAGAGGACGGCCAAAUCCUGCCAGGGUAUGUCCACGCCACAUUUCGGAAAUGGGAUGACUGCAUGCCUAGGCCUACUCAAAGCUGGUUUUAUACUCAGAGGCACCAGUGUCUGAAGUGAACUGAAGAAAAAUCAGUUACUUGCAGAACUUUGCUGAGUUUGGAGUCUGCUGGCAGCAAUCCUCGCGAAGGCAGACACAACUGUGGGGUUACCGAGUGUGGGGUUACCAAAACCAACCUGUGCUUGCGAUCCAGUCAUUAUAUCCAGGAUUCAAACCAGCUUCCCUACAGAAGAAACCACACAGAUUUUCUAUGUCUUUUUGUUUCUGAGGUGAGCUGGGAAUUUUGACCUUGGAGGCACUUUAAAGAAUGAGCAAUAUUGCCCAUGAUCUCCUUAUGCACUUUGCAGCUUGGGGGCAUGAUCAUCACCGUGACCUUGCUGCCCCAGCCAGCGCCCAGGAGAGCAAGGCAUUUGCAGGUGUCUGUAAAGUGGGCUUCUUGCUAUGCUGAUGUUUCAGGAUGGCAGAUUUCCAUCCCAGUGAGAGGAUAAGAUAAGCCUAAAAUGUAUUUUCUGUACUGGAUGGAAAAAUUCUUGCUCCUAAAGACCUUACAGACUGUGAAAACUGCUGCAAAGGCAGUACAAUGUCACCACCAAACCCAGGAGCCCAAGCACUGAGUGCAGCACUGCAAAUAAAGGAUUUUUCUAGUCUCUAGCUGAACUGAAAAAUGGUCAUGAAAUAGCAGGGUGAUACUCGGUUUCCUUCCUUCCAAACAACAGCAACAACAACAACAACAAAAAGAAAAGAAAACAAAAAAAGAAAGAAUAAUAAUAUUAAAAUCAGAUAAGACUAAACUUUUCUAGAGUUCUUGUCUAAAACACAUAGAUCCAUAAGCAAAUUUUCUGUGAACUUGUAUCCUGUGAUUGAAACAGUGUUUGGAGCUUCAUCUGCAACUGCAUUCUGCUCUGUAUGCUUUGGAAUCUAAUAAAGGCUGAGUUCAUGUUGAAAUUAAAUUCAGAAUUUAAAGACUAUUUCUAUUCUCUACUCAGCUGCCUGUUUUCACAGAAAAAUGAAAAAUUACAGUAACUUAGUUAUCUUUGAGACCUCUGUCAAAUUCAGCUGAAAUCAGGCAAUGACUUGAAAUAUUAUUAGGAGGGAAUGUAUACAGACACUCACACAGCUGCAUCUACAUUCAUGUAGAUACAGAAAGAUAAACCAAAUCAACUGUGUUUCCACGUGGAGAAGGAGUAUAAGUAUAAUUUGAUAAAUAUGAAAAUGCAUCACUUUAUACAUAAAAGCAAGAAAGAAAACAAAAUAUUUUCUUUAAAAUCAUUAACAUCAAUAUUUAAACCUAUUCCCUGUUUUCCUUAGCACAUUUGCAAGUUCCUUUCAAAAUCAUGAGUUGCUUCAGUCAGAUUAGGCAUACAUUUUCUGUUUGAAAAUAUUUUGCAGUAAAAUUGCACUCAUCAGCAGGGCAGAAUAAUUUCACUUGUUUUUCUCCUCAGAUAUGUGGUAGACCUCUUAAUUCAUCUAAGAAAGUUGGGCUGUUGAAGCCAACUGCCAACACCGUUAGGUCUCUGCCCUUACACAAGAAAUCAGUGGACCAAGAGUUCCCAGACAUAAAAAUACCUCUGGAAAAUAUAUUCAUUGCCUUCAAAAUGGAGAUAAAGCUACUAAUUAUUUUACAGUAAAAGUUGUUAUUUACCUUUCUGUGUAUUGCUGGUUGCUUUUGUUUAUCUCUUGUUGCUUUUACCCUUUUUUUGGUUGCUGC
Corapipo altera (White-ruffed manakin) is the source of this 2765-nucleotide long non-coding RNA. RefSeq lists it as uncharacterized. The transcript is spliced from 3 exons. Lineage: Eukaryota; Metazoa; Chordata; Aves; Passeriformes; Pipridae. The record is from RefSeq and is a predicted model, not a curated record.